CCCACUUUGAGAGUCUUUUGCAAUGGGAGA
Molecule: non-coding RNA, 30 nt
Filed under: Mus musculus (house mouse)
Lineage: Eukaryota; Metazoa; Chordata; Mammalia; Rodentia; Muridae
Source: RNAcentral